This 540-nucleotide long non-coding RNA is filed under the name Dromaius novaehollandiae (emu). Its description in RNAcentral is "lncRNA (ENSDNVG00000018322.1)". Lineage: Eukaryota; Metazoa; Chordata; Aves; Casuariiformes; Dromaiidae. The record is from RNAcentral.
UAAAAGUUGGGGUUCUCCAUGGGGAUGGAGGAGAAUGGUGCAAAAUUCUCCUGAUGAGAUGGCAUUCCUGGAAGACAGACCCUUCUGCUACACAUAACAAGUAGGGAGUGAUCUCUUCAUGGGUCAAAGCAAGCACGGAUCACAGAAUUAAGGAGGUUCUAGCUGGAAGGUGACUUAGUAUAAUGGGGCAGAAUGUAAUUUUUCUGGGAAGCAGAUGAGUAUCUAUGCCCUGUAAGGACAGUAUCUCCUAGCUGGGGUCCUGAGUUCUCCAUUGCAAGAUUCCAUGCAAGGUGAAGUCUUGAACACCAUCACUAGGAUUUUUGACCAUGAAUCUACUAUAAGACCAGAUCUCAUGCUUGCUGAAAGGCUCCCAAUUUAAAUCACUGGACCUUUUUACAUGUGUAAAAUAUGAGAUUGGUGACAGAGUGAUCAGCAUCUUACAGAAAUGAAUGCCCAGUGAGUAUAGAGAUUCAUUUUUCCUCUUUCCAUAUUAUAGAAUCAUGAUUACCAGACAGUUAUGAAGUCAUUAGUGGAGCAAUA